CAGAGUUGCAAGACUCCCUAAACCAUUGUGAACCUACCCUCUACCGUUGCUUCGGCGGGCGGGCCCAGCGCCCCCCCCGGCCCCCCGCGGGCGCCGCCGGAGGAUACCCAAACUCUUGACAUUAGUGGCCUCUCUGAGUAUUCUUUACUGAAUAAGUCA
RNAcentral lists this unclassified non-coding RNA (159 nucleotides) under soil metagenome. RNAcentral describes it as "partial internal transcribed spacer 1". The record is from RNAcentral.